Molecule: ribosomal RNA, 402 nt
Filed under: uncultured bacterium
Lineage: Bacteria
Description: bacterial SSU rRNA
Rfam family: Bacterial small subunit ribosomal RNA
Source: RNAcentral
UGGGGAAUUUUGGACAAUGGGCGAAAGCCUGAUCCAGCCAUGCCGCGUGAAUGAAGAAGGCCUUCGAAUUGUAAAGCUCUUUUAGUCGGAAAGAAAGAGUCGCAAUGAAUAAUUGUGAUUUAUGACGGUACCGACAGAAAAAGCACCGGCUAACUACGUGCCAGCAGCCGCGGUAAUACGUAGGAUGCGAGCGUUAAUCGGAAUUACUGGGCGUAAAGAAUGCACAGGCGGUUUUGCAAGUCAGAUGUGAAAGCCCCGGGCUUAACCUGGGAAUUGCGUUUGAAACUACAAGGCUAGAGUGCAGCAGAGGGGAGUGGAAUUCCAUGUGUAACAGUGAAAUGCGUAGAGAUGUGGAAGAACACCGAUGGCGAAGGCAGCUCCCGUGGGUUGACACGUGACGCU